RNAcentral lists this ribosomal RNA (905 nucleotides) under uncultured bacterium. RNAcentral's name for it is "partial 16S ribosomal RNA". The record is from RNAcentral.
CCCCGUCAAUUCCUUUGAGUUUCAUUCUGCGAACGUACUCCCCAGGUGGGAUACUUAUAACUUUCGCUUAGCCACUGAACCCGAAAGCCCAACAGCAAGUAUCCAUCGUUUACGGCAUGGACUACCAGGGUAUCUAAUCCUGUUCGCUCCCCACGCUUUCGUCCAUCAGCGUCAGUUAAUGUUUAGUCACCUGCCUUCGCAAUUGGUGUUCUGCGUAAUAUCUAAGCAUUUCACCGCUACACUACACAUUCCAGCAACUUCAACAUCACUCAAGACUAACAGUAUCAAUGGCAGUUUCAUAGUUAAGCUAUGAGAUUUCACCACUGACUGAUUAAUCCGCCUACGGACCCUUUAAACCCAAUAAAUCCGGAUAACGCUUGCACCCUCCGUAUUACCGCGGCUGCUGGCACGGAGUUAGCCGGUGCUUAUUCUUCUGGUACCUUCAGCUACUUACACGUAAGUAGGUUUAUCCCCAGAUAAAAGUAGUUUACAACCCAUAAGGCCGUCAUCCUACACGCGGGAUGGCUGGAUCAGGCUUCCACCCAUUGUCCAAUAUUCCUCACUGCUGCCUCCCGUAGGAGUCUGGUCCGUGUCUCAGUACCAGUGUGGGGGUUCACCCUCUCAGGCCCCCUAAAGAUCAUCGUCUUGGUGAGCCGUUACCUCACCAACUAACUAAUCUUACGCAUGCCUAUCCUACUGCGAUAAAUCUUUCAAAAUCUAAUGAUGCCAUUAAAUCUGUUAUAAAGUAUUAAUCCUCCUUUCGAAGGGCUAUCCUUUUCAGUAGGGCAAGUUGCAUACGCGUUACGCACCCGUGCGCCGGUCUCUAGUUAGCAAGCUAACUAUACCCCUCGGCUUGCAUGUGUUAAGCCUCCCGCUAGCGUUCAUCCUGAGCCAUGAUCAAACUC